AGGCGGAGAGGCGACGAAGGAGGGCGCCAAGGAGGAGAAGGAUAAGAAGACGGUGGGAAAAGUAGCAACGUCCCAGCCUGAGGAGGUGAACUACCUGAACCGUUCACCAAACCACGUUCAGCAGGGCGACCCCGUCUACCAACACCAUAAAGGCUCGAGGCAAGAGAGUCUCGAUGGAGUGUACUUCGUAGCAAUCGUGGCUGGAUGUACGGCUGUAGCUGUGUUUGGUGUCAUUAGUGCUGGAAUCUGCUGGUAUAGGUAAGUGUGUUUUAUGAGUUUAGUUUAUCACAUAUUUCAGUGUACACUUUUUGUAAUAACUAUAUACUGUUCCUGUA
Molecule: non-coding RNA, 335 nt
Organism: Penaeus vannamei (Pacific white shrimp)
Lineage: Eukaryota; Metazoa; Arthropoda; Malacostraca; Decapoda; Penaeidae
Source: RefSeq, a predicted model, not a curated record